This 253-nucleotide ribosomal RNA is filed under the name uncultured bacterium. RNAcentral's name for it is "partial 16S ribosomal RNA". It matches the Rfam family "Bacterial small subunit ribosomal RNA", at positions 524 to 776 of the family's 1533-position model. The record is from RNAcentral.
GACGUAGGGCGCGAGCGUUGUCCGGAUUUAUUGGGCGUAAAGAGCGUGUAGGCGGCCUGAAAGGUCAGCUGUGAAAACUCGAGGCUCAACCUCGAGACGUCGGUUGAAACCAUCUGGCUAGAGUCCGGAAGAGGAGAGUGGAAUUCCCGGUGUAGCGGUGAAAUGCGCAGAUAUCGGGAAGAACACCCGUGGCGAAGGCGGCUCUCUGGGACGGUACUGACGCUGAGGUGCGAAAGCGUGGGGAGCAAACAGG